UACGUAGGGGGCAAGCGUUGUCCGGAAUCAUUGGGCGUAAAGAGCGUGUAGGCGGCUCGGUAAGUCCGCUGUGAAAGUCCAGGGCUCAACCCUGGAAUGCCGGUGGAAACUGUCGAGCUAGAGUCCGGAAGAGGCGAGUGGAAUUCCUGGUGUAGCGGUGAAAUGCGCAGAUAUCAGGAAGAACACCCGUGGCGAAGGCGGCUCUCUGGGACGGUACUGACGCUGAGACGCGAAAGCGUGGGGAGCGAACAGG
RNAcentral lists this ribosomal RNA (253 nucleotides) under uncultured bacterium. Its description in RNAcentral is "partial 16S ribosomal RNA". It matches the Rfam family "Bacterial small subunit ribosomal RNA", at positions 524 to 776 of the family's 1533-position model. The record is from RNAcentral.